CUAAUUUGAGAUGUCCAUGUUUAGGUUAAAAUUAGAUAUUUGCUCCUACCGUCAUUAAAGUAAGGAUCUUCUGUUUGACGACUUAACAUCAAAAUAGUAUAUCCUGCCAAAGUACAAACUCAAUGCCAAGAUUUACCCAUGAGCUAGGAACUUUCUGUAAUCAGCUUUUAAUAUAUGAAACAAACUUCCAGAAAUAUUGAAAUCAGCUCAAUAAUCAAAAUAGCUUUCAAAAUCUGAAUACACAAAUACCAACUGCGACAUUAACUUUCAACAAAUGCAGCAAGCUAAUUUGG
This is a long non-coding RNA of Octopus sinensis (East Asian common octopus), 293 nucleotides long. RefSeq lists it as uncharacterized. The transcript has 3 exons. Lineage: Eukaryota; Metazoa; Mollusca; Cephalopoda; Octopoda; Octopodidae. The record is from RefSeq and is a predicted model, not a curated record.